This is a long non-coding RNA of Ixodes scapularis (black-legged tick), 463 nucleotides long. RefSeq lists it as uncharacterized. The transcript has 4 exons. Lineage: Eukaryota; Metazoa; Arthropoda; Arachnida; Ixodida; Ixodidae. The record is from RefSeq and is a predicted model, not a curated record.
GGCGUCGCAGGUUGCAAGCUCGAGUGAACUUACGUGCGUGUAUGUCAUCCGGCCACCCACAUGCAGUACAUGGAGCCAGACAUGUUCAAAAAGGCUAAUAAAAGGUACACAGACGCCAAAGUCUUGGUAUGUCAGCAAAGGCAUACAAACAGAAAAACCUUCGCAAACAUCGGUUGAAAUUCAGGCGUCGACCACAUCCUCCGAUGCAUUGCACAGCUGUCUUCGUCCCGAGGACGAGUCCGUUUCGGAGGUGGCAGGCCCAAGUCCCCUGGGAGAUGAGACCGGUGCCCCAGGACAUCUACAAGCAGCAGAAGGAACUCAGGCAGAAGCAACCUUCGCACAACACGAGCAGCCACUUCAGCGGUGCUCUACGCCUAUUAGUGGCACAGUCCCCAGCUCUUUGGACUUGGACGGCACUCCUCAGACUUCGCAGCCCGACACCGAUCCUGUGGACAUGAGCGAU